AUACCCGCUGAACUUAAGCAUAUCAAUAAGCGGAGGAAAAGAAACCAACAGGGAUUGCCUCAGUAACGGCGAGUGAAGCGGCAAUAGCUCAAAUUUGAAAUCUGGCUCUUUUAGAGUCCGAGUUGUAAUUUGUAGAGGAUGCUUCGGCUUACGUUUCGGUCUAAGUUCCUUGGAACAGGACGUCACAGAGGGUGAGAAUCCCGUUUGUGGCCGAGACUUCCGCCAUGUGAAGCUCCUUCGACGAGUCGAGUUGUUUGGGAAUGCAGCUCUAAAUGGGAGGUAUAUUUCUUCUAAAGCUAAAUACCGGCCAGAGACCGAUAGCGCACAAGUAGAGUGAUCGAAAGAUGAAAAGCACUUUGGAAAGAGAGUUAAAAAGUACGUGAAAUUGUUGAAAGGGAAGCGCUUGCGACCAGACUUGCCCGCGGAUGCUCAACCGGUCCUUCGGCCGGUGCACUCUUCCGCGGUCAGGCCAGCAUCAGUUCGAGCGGUCGGAUAAAGGCCUUGGGAAUGUGGCUCUCUUCGGGGAGUGUUAUAGCCCUUGGUGUAAUACGGCCCGCCUGGACUGAGGCCCGCGCUUCGGCUAGGAUGCUGGCGUAAUGGUCGUAAGCGGCCCGUCUUG
This 619-nucleotide ribosomal RNA is filed under the name Parahelicomyces indicus. Its description in RNAcentral is "eukaryotic LSU rRNA". It matches the Rfam family "Eukaryotic large subunit ribosomal RNA", at positions 21 to 656 of the family's 3401-position model. The record is from RNAcentral. Lineage: Eukaryota; Fungi; Ascomycota; Dothideomycetes; Tubeufiales; Tubeufiaceae.